This 412-nucleotide long non-coding RNA is filed under the name Sarcophilus harrisii (Tasmanian devil). RNAcentral's name for it is "lncRNA (ENSSHAG00000026128.1)". The record is from RNAcentral. Lineage: Eukaryota; Metazoa; Chordata; Mammalia; Dasyuromorphia; Dasyuridae.
CUCUUCCCACUGCCCAGGAAAUGCUGUAUGUGACCAUGAACUCCAGUGUCAAUGUGAAGAAGGGCUGACACAUCCUAACUGUGAUGAUACCACAUUUACUACCAAUGUCUCCAUUGUGGCUGGAGUGCUGACCAUGGUCCUGGCCACAGUUGUGAUCUCUGUGUUGUUUGUCCAUCGCCAAAAGGCCAGUAAGCAGAAGCAAGUUCAUAGCCCUUCCUCCAACACACCUGCAGUGGACAAUCAAGGACACUCAAAUGAAGAGCAACAACAGACCAGAACUGAGCCAGUUGUUUGCACCCAAAAUCAAAAUGCUUCAGACACCUUUGAGGAUAUCCCUGCUGGUUAUUCCAGUCCUCAGUACAUUACCAUGAAAUCGACUGGUAAGGAAUCCAGAGUAGUUCCAGUAUCCAAC